This 429-nucleotide ribosomal RNA is filed under the name Bacteroidota bacterium. RNAcentral describes it as "Bacteroidetes bacterium partial 16S ribosomal RNA". It matches the Rfam family "Bacterial small subunit ribosomal RNA", at positions 355 to 776 of the family's 1533-position model. The record is from RNAcentral. Lineage: Bacteria; Pseudomonadati; Bacteroidota.
UAGGGAAUCUUCCGCAAUGGACGCAAGUCUGACGGAGCAACGCCGCGUGAGUGAAGAAGGAUUUCGGUUCGUAAAACUCUGUUGUUAGAGAAGAACAGCGCAUAGAGUAACUGUUAUGCGUGUGACGGUAUCUAACCAGAAAGCCACGGCUAACUACGUGCCAGCAGCCGCGGUAAUACGUAGGUGGCAAGCGUUGUCCGGAUUUAUUGGGCGUAAAGCGAGCGCAGGCGGUCAAUUAAGUCUGAUGUGAAAGCCCCCGGCUCAACCGGGGAGGGUCAUUGGAAACUGGUUGACUUGAGUGCAGAAGAGGGGAGUGGAAUUCCAUGUGUAGCGGUGAAAUGCGUAGAUAUAUGGAGGAACACCGGUGGCGAAAGCGGCUCUCUGGUCUGUAACUGACGCUGAGGCUCGAAAGCGUGGGGAGCGAACAGG